RNAcentral lists this transfer RNA (67 nucleotides) under Hordeum vulgare. RNAcentral describes it as "tRNA-Asn". Lineage: Eukaryota; Viridiplantae; Streptophyta; Magnoliopsida; Poales; Poaceae. The record is from RNAcentral.
GGAGCAGUAGCAGAGUGGUGUGCUUCUGUGUGUUGUACAGGGGGUCUUGGGUUCGAUUCCCCACCCA